CCAAAAAGUUCAAGAAAUUAGGACAGCGCCGGGCGAGGAUUGCAGUCUUCGUCCUCGAUCGCACUGACCGAGCUCUACCCUUAAAUUCAAUACGCGGAUCGCGUUCAAUGGUUACUCAGCGAACCUCGAAAAUUACGGAGCCCGAAGAAUAGAAAGAUUGGUGUCAAGAAGAGUCGAUCACUGCUACCAGAAAUCAAUUGCGGUUAUAUCAUCAGUCAUGGACUCAAUUACGUUCCUUCAUUGGACGAGCGUACAGAACGAACGUCGAAUCUGCCCCGACUACUUCUUCAUGAGGAAAAACAGUUGAACUAUGAGAAGCCUGGAGGCAAUGGGCACAAGAAAAGACAUGGCGUUGACAAAUUUGAAGACUGUUGGAAUUUGUUGGGUAUACUGCACCAUAGCUUGCAAGCAGUCAUCCAAGUAACUACUGAAAUACUUCGCAAA
Molecule: long non-coding RNA, 444 nt
Organism: Neodiprion fabricii
Lineage: Eukaryota; Metazoa; Arthropoda; Insecta; Hymenoptera; Diprionidae
Exons: 3
Source: RefSeq, a predicted model, not a curated record